RNAcentral lists this transfer RNA (68 nucleotides) under Molossus molossus (Pallas's mastiff bat). It matches the Rfam family "tRNA". From Rfam's summary of the family: Transfer RNA (tRNA) molecules are approximately 80 nucleotides in length. Their secondary structure includes four short double-helical elements and three loops (D, anti-codon, and T loops). Further hydrogen bonds mediate the characteristic L-shaped molecular structure. tRNAs have two regions of fundamental functional importance: the anti-codon, which is responsible for specific mRNA codon recognition, and the 3' end, to which the tRNAs corresponding amino acid is attached (by aminoacyl-tRNA synthetases). tRNAs cope with the degeneracy of the genetic code in two manners: having more than one tRNA (with a specific anti-codon) for a particular amino acid; and 'wobble' base-pairing, i.e. permitting non-standard base-pairing at the 3rd anti-codon position. Lineage: Eukaryota; Metazoa; Chordata; Mammalia; Chiroptera; Molossidae. The record is from Rfam by way of RNAcentral.
GUAAAUAUAGUUUAACAAAAACAUUAGAUUGUGAAUCUAAUAAUAGAGACUAACAUCUCUUAUUUACC